AGGACGAACGCUGGCGGCGUGCUUAACACAUGCAAGUCGAGCGGUAAGGCCUUUCGGGGUACACGAGCGGCGAACGGGUGAGUAACACGUGGGUGAUCUGCCCUGCACUUCGGGAUAAGCCUGGGAAACUGGGUCUAAUACCGGAUAUGACCUCAGGUUGCAUGACUUGGGGUGGAAAGAUUUAUCGGUGCAGGAUGGGCCCGCGGCCUAUCAGCUUGUUGGUGGGGUAAUGGCCUACCAAGGCGACGACGGGUAGCCGACCUGAGAGGGUGACCGGCCACGACUGGGACUGAGACACGGCCCAGACUCCUACGGGAGGCAGCAGUGGGGAAUAUUGCACAAUGGGCGAAAGCCUGAUGCAGCGACGCCGCGUGAGGAUGACGGCCUUCGGGUUGUAAACCUCUUUCAGCAGGACGAAGCGCAAGUGACGGUACCUGCAGAAGAGCACCGGCUAACUACGUGCCAGCAAGCCGC
Molecule: ribosomal RNA, 474 nt
Filed under: uncultured soil bacterium
Lineage: Bacteria
Description: bacterial SSU rRNA
Rfam family: Bacterial small subunit ribosomal RNA
Source: RNAcentral